GCAGGCUCGUAGUGCAGGACCUUUUUAAAUCUUGAAACGGGUAGGCCCAAAUGCAUAUGUCAUUGAUCUUCCUUUUGAUUACGACAUUAGUUCCACUUUUAAUAUUAAGGACUUAGUUGCUUAUAUACCUCCUUUGCCUGUCCCGAUGCCCCAUUUGACACACCAACUCUGCCCCCACCAGAUAUGCCUGCCUUUGACCCUCACACUUCUCCUUUUCAACCCACACGGAAGGAGAAGAUAAAUACUAUUUUAGAUGAACAGAUAAUAUCUACUACUGACGGAGGUAUUCAGCAUUUACUAGUCCGAUGGAGGGACCGUCCAGAGUCUGAUAGCACGUGAAUUACUUGUGAGGAGCCAGCAGAUCGAUCCAGAUCUUUUGGAGCACUAUCAGAUCGCUCGCUGUCCCACUCGAUGGAGUCGAGUUUCUCCCACCUCAGGAGAGUUGGUGCGAACACUGUCCUAGACCUUUGAUCAAGCACGUGUAUAGUCGCAGACGCAGGAGGGCAGCCCACCCGGUGACACUUUGGCUGGGUGAUAGCUUAUGAGAAAGAGAGUUUAUUUGUUGGGUAUUUGGGUCUUUUCUUCUGUAGGGGUAUUUUGGGAAUUUGCUCUUAUCAUGUUGCCUAUAUAAAGGCUGUUAGGGCUUGUUAACAAUUGGUUGAAUGAAUAGAAUUUUCCUUCCAUAUUGUUUUUGUUGGUGGAUUCCAACACCUCGCUGGUGGAUUCCGCGGGUUGAGUUCCUAUUUGAAUAUUGUUCUGCAUCACAUCACUUCUAAUUUGCUUUGAUUGCAAUUUAAAUAUGUAGCAGGAUCCAAAUUACGGAUAGUGGCCUUUCGAGCUCUUCUUGGAUUUCUUUCCAAAUGCAUUAAAAAAAGACUUGGUAGAGGAUGUCCCCCUCCUUAUGGACCAGCUACUCUCUAACCUGACAGGCUAUCCAUAUGAAUGUGAUCUCCCUAUUGCACUAGAGAGUUUUUAUUGAAUUGAGAGUGCUCAAACUCUGCCUAUGCCUCAUAUCUCAUCAUGAUACCAUUGAUCAUAAGGAUAACCUCUCGUAGAUAAGCUGCCACCAUGUCAUCUGGAUCAGAAUCAUGAUAAUUGUCAUCCGAGUAUAUAUGAACAUAUGACUGAGAUACUUGAUGAUUUAUCUUCCCUUCGAGCUUUGAAAUUUAUCUUUGCCCCUCUUUUUACAAGUGCUCCCUCGUCAUCUUUUGAAUAUCUACAGGUACCUUGGAACAUUUUUAACAUCACUGAAGCCACCUGCUAGGUGCUACUUAAGUCGGGUGACACCACCUCCUUUAUUAUACUGCCAACAAUAAUUGCAUUUCCACUGGUGCUAGAGGACUUCCCCAUUUUUCCAACAUGUCUCAAAAUAUUUUGGUUCUUCUAUUUCUUACUAUUAGGAUCUAUGUGGUCAGAAAGAUUUAUGCAUUCCUAUCCAAUAACAUAUUUUAAUCCUUUUCUAAUUUUUUAAAUAUUUUCAUUAAAAGUUAUUUUUUAAAUCAUUGAAAUUUUGAAAAUAAUCAUUCAUACAUCUAAAUUACCUGAGAUGUAUCUUAGUUUUCCUCAACUUUAUGUUCAUUAAUAUCCAAACUUUAUCCAAUUAUCUAAUAAAUAAUCAUAAUUUUAUUUUAUUAUUUUAGAUAAUUAUCAGAAUUCAUGAUAUGUACCUAGAAGUUGGCUUUAAGUUCCCUAUACUUCCUCCACCAUUUCCAACAUUUAAUAUAAAUUUUCUAAUUUUAAAACUUUUAAUUUAAAUCAUUGAAAUUUUGAAAAUAAUCAUUCGUGUAUCUGAAUUACUUGAGGAUGCACCUUAACUCUUCUCAACAUUCUAGAUAAUUAACAAAAUUCACGAUAAGUAUUACUUGUUCCAUCCUUUUCGACAUUUAAUAUAUUUUUUAAAUACUUACUAUAAAAUUAAUUCAAAGAUCAUCAAAUUCUAAAAAUUAAAUUUGCAGAAGGUUCUUUGUUUGAAAUUUAUCCAAUAUAUACAAUAAUUAAGUAGCAUGUGUGACAAAAUAAUCUAAACAUGCUAUAUAUUUUCUUGCAUAAUAUUUCUUCUAUUAUUUGAUAAUUAUUUUUUUAAAAAAUUGAUCUCAUAAAUAAUAAAAUAUUUAUUGAGAAAAUAAAAAAUUACAAUCUUGCAGCUUGAUUCUUACCCUAUAUCAUAUUACAAUUUCAUGCCAAACAAAAGAAAAAUUAUCAUGAUUGCUUCUAAUUUAUCAUGACUAGAUUCUAGAUUAGAGAUGACUAAGAGCUUGCUGGUAUGCAAGAUAGUGGCGACUAGUAUCCCUGAAUUUCCAACAUAGCACUUCUUCCCUUCCUCUCCCUUUGUUUCCCUCAUUCUCUUUUUCUUUCUCUAGGUUUCCGAGCAUGGCGAUGAUGGGCAUUAAUGCUCUUGAUGCCUAAAUAGAGGCAGAGGCAUGUGGGAUCUAGUUCCAAUUUUAUUUGGAAAAAAUAAACUCCAUCAUGUGCAGCAUUCCUAACCUCAUUAUUUCUUUUUUUAGCACCAAGGAAUCCAGUACUUUGGAUUGGACCCACAUUAAUUAAAAUAAAAAAGGAAAAACUAAUAGAGCGUGCCUCUCGGCCUUUUUGCUUGCGACUUGAGCUAGAGGGCAGAGAUCACUUUUCACCUCCCAAAAUCUCCUCAUUC
Phoenix dactylifera (date palm) is the source of this 2650-nucleotide non-coding RNA. Lineage: Eukaryota; Viridiplantae; Streptophyta; Magnoliopsida; Arecales; Arecaceae. The record is from RefSeq and is a predicted model, not a curated record.